RNAcentral lists this ribosomal RNA (507 nucleotides) under Naranjakotta sp. G STC-2019. Its description in RNAcentral is "partial large subunit ribosomal RNA". It matches the Rfam family "Bacterial large subunit ribosomal RNA", at positions 1828 to 2600 of the family's 2925-position model. The record is from RNAcentral. Lineage: Eukaryota; Metazoa; Arthropoda; Insecta; Hemiptera; Miridae.
UGUUCUUUUGUUUAUAUAAAAGAUCUGACCUGCCCAAUGAUUAUUAUUUAAUGGCUGCAGUAUUUUGACUGUACAAAGGUAGCAUAAUCAUUUGUCUUUUAAUUGAAGUCUAGGAUGAAUGGUUUGAUGAAAAAUAUGUUUUCUUUAUUUUAAAAGGAAAAUUUAAUUUUUUAGUUAAAAAGCUAAAAUUUUAUUAUGGGACGAGAAGACCCUAUAGAACUUUAUUUUUGAAUUUAUAAAUUUAAUAUAGAAUAUUAUAUGAUAUAUAAUGAUUAAAUUUUGUUGGGGUGACAGAAAAAAUAUAAUAACUUUUUCUAUAUUUUUCAUUAUUGUUGAAUUUUUGAUCCUUUCUUAUGGAUAUAAGAUUAAGUUACCUUAGGGAUAACAGCGUUAUUAUUUUAGAGAGUUCAUAUCGAUAAAGUAGUUUGCGACCUCGAUGUUGGAUUAUAAUAAGAUAUAGGAGUAGAAUAUUAUUAUCUAGGUCUGUUCGACCUUUAAAUUUUUACA